This 533-nucleotide ribosomal RNA is filed under the name uncultured bacterium. Its description in RNAcentral is "bacterial SSU rRNA". It matches the Rfam family "Bacterial small subunit ribosomal RNA", at positions 777 to 1320 of the family's 1533-position model. The record is from RNAcentral.
AAUAGAUACCCGGGUAGUCCUAGCUGUAAACCGAUGAACACUAGGCGUAGUCGGUAUCGACCCCGGCUGUGCCGUAGCUAACGCAUUAAGUGUUCCGCCUGGGGAGUACGGCCGCAAGGCUAAAACUCAAAGGAAUUGACGGGGGGCCCGCACAAGCAGCGGAGCGUGUGGUUUAAUUCGUCGCAACGCGAAGAACCUUACCAGGGCUUGACAUGUGGCGGAAAACGGCGGAAACGUCGUCCUCCCGCAAGGGACCGUCAUGCAGGUGUUGCAUGGCUGUCGUCAGCUCGUGUCGUGAGAUGUUGGGUUAAGUCCCGCAACGAGCGCAACCCCCGUGGCAUGUUGUAUCUCUCAUGCCAGACUGCCGAGAGAAACUCGGAGGAAGGUGGGGAUGACGCCAAGUCAGCAUGGCCCUUACGUCCUGGGCUACACACACGCUACAAUGGCCGGUACAACGGGUUGCCAAACCGCGAGGUGGAGCUAAUCCCUUAAACGCCGGUCUCAGUUCGGAUUGCAGGCUGCACUCGCCUGCA